GCUGGGUAUGGUGGCAAACGCCUGUAAUCCCAGCAUCUAGGAGGCUGUGGCAGGAGGAUUGUGAGUUCAAAGCCAGCCUCAGUAACUUGGUGAGGACCUAAGCAACUCAGUGAGAACCUGUCUCUA
Molecule: small RNA, 126 nt
Filed under: Marmota monax (woodchuck)
Lineage: Eukaryota; Metazoa; Chordata; Mammalia; Rodentia; Sciuridae
Source: RNAcentral